RNAcentral lists this ribosomal RNA (253 nucleotides) under Segatella copri DSM 18205. RNAcentral's name for it is "Prevotella copri DSM 18205 partial 16S ribosomal RNA". It matches the Rfam family "Bacterial small subunit ribosomal RNA", at positions 524 to 776 of the family's 1533-position model. Lineage: Bacteria; Pseudomonadati; Bacteroidota; Bacteroidia; Bacteroidales; Prevotellaceae. The record is from RNAcentral.
UACGGAAGGUCCGGGCGUUAUCCGGAUUUAUUGGGUUUAAAGGGAGCGUAGGCCGGAGAUUAAGCGUGUUGUGAAAUGUAGAUGCUCAACAUCUGCACUGCAGCGCGAACUGUUUUCCUUGAGUACGCACAAAGUGGGCGGAAUUCGUGGUGUAGCGGUGAAAUGCUUAGAUAUCACGAAGAACUCCGAUUGCGAAGGCAGCUCACUGGAGCGCAACUGACGCUGAAGCUCGAAAGUGCGGGUAUCGAACAGG